GAUGAAGAACGCAGCGAAAUGCGAUAAGUAAUGUGAAUUGCAGAAUUCAGUGAAUCAUCGAAUCUUUGAACGCACAUUGCGCCCGCUAGUAUUCUGGCGGGCAUGCCUGUCCGAGCGUCAUUUCAACCCUCAAGCCCCCGGGCUUGGUGUUGGGGAUCGGCGAGCCUCCGCGCCCGCCGUCCCCUAAAUCUAGUGGCGGUCUCGCUGUAGCUUCCUCUGCGUAGUAGCACACCUCGCACUGGGAAACAGCGCGGCCACGCCGUUAAACCCCCAACUUCUGAACGUUUGACCUCGGAUCAGGAAGGAAUACCCGCUGAACUUAAGCAUAUCAAUAAGCGGAGGA
RNAcentral lists this unclassified non-coding RNA (343 nucleotides) under soil metagenome. RNAcentral's name for it is "partial contains 5.8S ribosomal RNA, internal transcribed spacer 2, and large subunit ribosomal RNA". The stretch from base 1 to 120 matches the Rfam family "5.8S ribosomal RNA", at positions 35 to 154 of the family's 154-position model. The record is from RNAcentral.